UGACCGCUGGCGGCGUGCCUAACACAUGCAAGUCGAACGGAGUCGUUUUGGAAAUCUCUUCGGAGAUGGAAUUCUCGACUUAGUGGCGGACGGGUGAGUAACGCGUGAGCAAUCUGCCUUUAAGAGGGGGAUAACAGUCGGAAACGGCUGCUAAUACCGCAUAAAGCAUUAAAUUCGCAUGUUUUUGAUGCCAAAGGAGCAAUCCGCUUUUAGAUGAGCUCGCGUCUGAUUAGCUAGUUGGCGGGGUAACGGCCCACCAAGGCGACGAUCAGUAGCCGGACUGAGAGGUUGAACGGCCACAUUGGGACUGAGACACGGCCCAGACUCCUACGGGAGGCAGCAGUGGGGAAUAUUGCGCAAUGGGGGAAACCCUGACGCAGCAACGCCGCGUGAUUGAAGAAGGCCUUCGGGGUGUAAAGAUCUUUAAUCAGGGACGAAACAAAUGACGGUACCUGAAGAAUAAGCUCCGGCUAACUACGUG
RNAcentral lists this ribosomal RNA (481 nucleotides) under uncultured bacterium. RNAcentral describes it as "partial 16S ribosomal RNA". It matches the Rfam family "Bacterial small subunit ribosomal RNA", at positions 30 to 507 of the family's 1533-position model. The record is from RNAcentral.